Peromyscus eremicus (cactus mouse) is the source of this 396-nucleotide long non-coding RNA. RefSeq lists it as uncharacterized. The record is from RefSeq and is a predicted model, not a curated record. The transcript has 2 exons. NCBI's taxonomy places the organism in Eukaryota, Metazoa, Chordata, Mammalia, Rodentia, Cricetidae.
UGACAAAACACCAUCGUCUACAAAGUUUCAACUCAAGAACCAUGCGUUGAGUUAUCCCAGAAAAAAAAAAAAUCCCCAAAGAAUCUCCAAAUGUUUGAACUUUCCCUGCUCCUGGUCUGUGCCUUGUGAAUAGCCAUGGCCACGUGUUGCUGCCACCACAGACAGAGAGGUCUCUGACAGCAUGUUUGCCCAGCCAGGAUGAAUGAAAAUCCCUUUGACACUAUAAGCCAAGAUAAAUCUUUCCUCUGUUCAGCUGUUUCUGUUGGGCAUGUUGUCAUAGCCAGAGGAGAAGUCACGCACUCUGAAUCAAGACUGUGUUUCUUUCAACAAUGGGCUGCUCAAGUUUAUAAAAAAUAAACUGGUAGACUGGGAGAUUACACUAGCUCCCGAAAACCA